CCCUUAGAUGUUCUGGGCCGCACGCGCGCUACAAUGAUGAAUUCAACGAGUUUAUAACCUUGGUUGAAAAGCCUGGGUAAUCUUUUGAACUUUCGUCGUGAUGGGGCUAGACCCUUGCAAUUAUUGGUCUCCAACGAGGAAUUCCUAGUAAACGCAAGUCAUCAGCUUGCAUUGAUUACGUCCCUGCCCUUUGUACACACCGCCCGUCGCACCUACCGAUUGAAUGGUCCGGUGAAAUCUUCGGACUGCGCGGUCUGCAGUUUCUGCGUUCCGUGCGGAAAGUUGCGCAAACCUUAACAUUUAGAGGAAGGAGAAGUCGUAACA
RNAcentral lists this ribosomal RNA (324 nucleotides) under uncultured eukaryote. Its description in RNAcentral is "partial 18S ribosomal RNA". It matches the Rfam family "Eukaryotic small subunit ribosomal RNA", at positions 1470 to 1796 of the family's 1831-position model. The record is from RNAcentral.